UUCAGCUAAACCAAGUAUUGAAGGUGAUGCCUGCCCAGUGACCCAUGUUCAACGGCCGCGGUAUCCUAACCGUGCGAAGGUAGCGCAAUCAAUUGUCUCAUAAAUCGAGACUUGUAUGAAUGGCUAAACGAGGUCUCAACUGUCUCUUACGGAUAAUCAGUGAAAUUGAUCUUCCCGUGCAAAAGCAGGAAUAAACACAUAAGACGAGAAGACCCUGUGGAACUUAAAAAUCAGCAGCCACCUCACAACAAAGCUCAACCUACUAGGCUUACCACUAACAAGAUGCUGGCUUGCAUUUUUUCGGUUGGGGCGACCUUGGAGAAAAACGAAUCCUCCAAAAAUAAGACCACCCCCUCUUAACUAAGAGCAACCCCUCAACGUGCUAACAGUAACCAGACCCAAUAUAAUUGAUCAAUGGACCAAGCUACCCCAGGGAUAACAGCGCAAUCUCCUCCAAGAGCCCCUAUCGACGAGGAGGUUUACGACCUCGAUGUUGGAUCAGGACAUCCUAAUGGUGCAGCCGCUAUUAAGGGUUCGUUUGUUCAACGAUUAACAGUCCUAC
Molecule: ribosomal RNA, 562 nt
Filed under: Spilopelia chinensis (spotted dove)
Lineage: Eukaryota; Metazoa; Chordata; Aves; Columbiformes; Columbidae
Description: Streptopelia chinensis (spotted dove) partial 16S ribosomal RNA
Rfam family: Bacterial large subunit ribosomal RNA
Source: RNAcentral